RNAcentral lists this ribosomal RNA (306 nucleotides) under uncultured bacterium. Its description in RNAcentral is "partial 16S ribosomal RNA". It matches the Rfam family "Bacterial small subunit ribosomal RNA", at positions 507 to 807 of the family's 1533-position model. The record is from RNAcentral.
GACAGCAGUCGCCGCGGGAAUACAGAGGGUGCGAGCGUUAAUCGGUUUUACUGGGCGUAAAGCGUGCGUAGGCGGCUUCUUAAGUCGGAUGUGAAAUCCCUGAGCUUAACUUAGGAAUUGCAUUCGAUACUGGGAAGCUAGAGUAUGGGAGAGGAUGGUAGAAUUCCAGGUGUAGCGGUGAAAUGCGUAGAGAUCUGGAGGAAUACCGAUGGCGAAGGCAGCCAUCUGGCCUAAUACUGACGCUGAGGUACGAAAGCAUGGGGAGCAAACAGGAUUAGAUACCCGGGUAGUCCCUGUCUCUUAUAC